Molecule: ribosomal RNA, 493 nt
Filed under: uncultured bacterium
Lineage: Bacteria
Description: bacterial SSU rRNA
Rfam family: Bacterial small subunit ribosomal RNA
Source: RNAcentral
AUUGAACGCUGGCGGCAUGCCUUACACAUGCAAGUCGAACGGCAGCGCGGGGCAACCUGGCGGCGAGUGGCGAACGGGUGAGUAAUAUAUCGGAACAUACCCUAGAGUGGGGAUAACGUAGCGAAAGUUACGCUAAUACCGCAUACGCACUAAGGUGGAAAGUGGGGGAUUCGCAAGAACCUCAUGCUCAUGGAGUGGCCGAUAUCUGAUUAGCUAGUUGGUGAGGUAAAGGCUCACCAAGGCAACGAUCAGUAGCUGGUUUGAGAGAACGACCAGCCACACUGGAACUGAGACACGGUCCAGACUCCUACGGGAGGCAGCAGUGGGGAAUUUUGGACAAUGGGGGCAACCCUGAUCCAGCAAUGCCGCGUGAGUGAAGAAGGCCUCCGGGUUGUAAAGCUCUUUUGUCAGGGAAGAAACGGUGAGAGCUAAUAUCUCUUGCUAAUGACGGUACCUGAAGAAUAAGCACCGGCUAACUACGUGCCAGCAGCCG